ACGACUGCUAAGACUGGAUAGGAAACAAAAAGGCAUCUUUUUAUUUUUAAAAGACCUAGCUAAUGAAGGUAUGCUUAGGGAAGAGCUUGCGCCACAUUAGUUAGUUGGUAGGGUAAAAGCCUACCAAGACGAUGAUGUGUAGCUGGACUGAGAGGUUGAACAGCCACAUUGGGACUGAGACACGGCCCAAACUCCUACGGGAGGCAGCAGUAGGGAAUUUUCGGCAAUGGAGGAAACUCUGACCGAGCAACGCCGCGUGAACGAUGAAGUAUUUCGGUAUGUAAAGUUCUUUUAUUGAAGAAGAAAAAGUAGUGGAAAAACUAUAUUGACGUUAUUCAAUGAAUAAGCCCCGGCUAACUAUGUGCCAGCAGCCGCGGUAAGACAUAGGGGGCGAGCGUUAUCCGGAAUUAUUGGGCGUAAAGGGUGCGUAGGCUGUUAGAUAAGUCUAUAAUUUAAUUUCAGUGCUUAACGCUGUCUUGUUAUAGAAACUGUCUUGACUAGAGUGAGAUAGAGGCCAGCGGAUUUCCAUGUGUAGCGGUAAAAUGUGUAAAUAUAUGGAGGAACCCCAGAAAGCGUAGGCGGCUUGCUGGGUCUUUACUGACGCUGAGGCACGAAAGCGUGGGUAGCAAACAGGAUUAGAUACCCUGGUAGUCCACGCCGUAAACGAUGAGUACUAAGUGUCGGGGUAAAACUCGGUACUGAAGUUAACACAUUAAGUACUCCGCCUGAGUAGUACGUACGCAAGUAUGAAACUUAAAGGAAUUGACGGGACUCCGCACAAGCGGUGGAUCAUGUUGUUUAAUUCGAAGAUACACGAAAAAUCUUACCAGGUCUUGACAUACUCUGCAAAGCUAUAGAAAUAUAGUGGAGGUUAUCAGGGAUACAGGUGGUGCAUGGUUGUCGUCAGUUCGUGUCGUGAGAUGUUAGGUUAAGUCCUAAAACGAGCGCAACCCUUGUCGUUAAUUGCCAGCACGUAAUGGUGGGGACUUUAGCGAGACUGCCAAUUAAACAUUGGAGGAAGGUGAGGAUUACGUCAAAUCAUCAUGCCCCUUAUGAUCUGGGCUACAAACGUGAUACAAUGGCUGUGACAAAGAGUAGCUGAAACGCGAGUUUUUAGCCAAUCUCAAAAAAGCAGUCUCAGUUCGGAUUGAAGUCUGUAACUCGACUUCAUGAAGUUGGAAUCGCUAGUAAUCGCGAAUCAGCAUGUCGCGGUGAAUACGUUCUCGGGGUUUGUACACACCGCCCGUCA
RNAcentral lists this ribosomal RNA (1249 nucleotides) under Iranian Tomato big bud phytoplasma. Its description in RNAcentral is "bacterial SSU rRNA". It matches the Rfam family "Bacterial small subunit ribosomal RNA", at positions 156 to 1399 of the family's 1533-position model. Lineage: Bacteria; Bacillati; Mycoplasmatota; Mollicutes; Acholeplasmatales; Acholeplasmataceae. The record is from RNAcentral.